AAUGUUGAUGUCUUCUAGAAGCACAAUCCAUAGGUCUGGAGCCUGGGUAUCCUGGUCUAUCUCCCCAGCAGAGGGCAGCACAAAGUCUACCUUCUUCAUCUUCCAUAUUAAUCUGCAAAUCCCUCUCUACGUUGUUAUCCUUUCUGGGGUCGGACUCAGGGAAAACACCAUCAUCUUCAUCUUCAUCAGUGUCCUCUUCACUCCACUGGACCCUAGCUGCGGUGUCUCGGGCCCUCUGCUUCAGAGCUGCUCUUGCAGUAAGCAAAAACUUUUCCUCCUUAUCCCUGGAGAUGAGAGAUGGCUCCACAGUCAUCCACCAUACCUUCAGAGCCUCAAAGACGCCCCUGGGUCAGCACACCAUCUUCCCCAGUCUUCCUCCUCGUCCCCAUCACUGUUCUGAAUUGGUGCUGGACACUUCUUACCUCGAGCCUGAGCAGCUACUGUGAAUAACUCUUCAAGCAAUGUUUUGACCCCAGGAGACUUAUUUGGUUUAGAGACUUCACGAGACCCUGCCCUCUUCUUGGCUGCUCUGUUUCAGGCACUACUUCACAGCCUUUUGAAAUUCUCAUCACUAGCUGCAGGCAAAAAUCUGAGCAGUUUGGUCUCUUCACCUUUCUGGUUUUGGGCCUUUUGGCCUGACCCAUGUGUCUCCUUCUUCCUAGGAUUUAACUUGUGCCCAGUGUUAACUGAAGGCUCAGCUUGCCUGGACCUGGUUGAGGCAGACCCAGUACCUCCAGCCAAGGCCUGUGCCACGUGGUCUUGAGGAAGAGCUGGGAUUACAUUCUUUAGUAUUAUAAUCAGCGCCCUUGAGACAAAUUUAAGCUGGUCUUAUUAUUUUAAGGAAAACUACAUAGGACAUAUGUUCUCUGUGGAAGUGAUAUUAUGUCAGUCACAUAUGAUAAGUGCCAAACAAUCAAAGUCACAGUUUCCAGUGAUAGGGCUCACUUUAAAGCUAAAGGUUGACAUGAAAAAUAUACAAGGAAAACACCAAUGUUGUUAAUCUGGAGUGCCUCACUUACUUAUUUUUAUUAAACUUAGGAGUAGCAUAUGAAUAGGUUGUGUGUUGAAGCAUGACACUUCUGUGGUCCUUUUCAACAAUUCUGAUGGAAUGUGUCUCUAUGAACGCUUUCAAAUCCCAUCUAGCUCAUCAUUUAAUCAUCUAUAUGUUGUUGAAAAAGUACAAGGUUGUCAUGACAACUAGAGAGAUAAUUUAGUCAACAUAACUCAUUCCACAUAACAUAACACUUUGCCUUUGUUCAAAUAUAUUUCUAUAAAUAUUCAUAUUCAGCAUUUUAAUAGUAUGCUUUAUAUUAGAAUGUGUGGACCCCAGAAUUAAAUAAGACCUCUCAGUUCCUGACACUAUUGUCAUGUGCCAUUAUUCUUCUCUAGCUGAAGUCACAACCUUGGUCAUUGAAGGUAUUAUCCAUACCCCCCAGGCUUAAAUUAAGCUCUUGGGGAAUUCUUUCCUGACAUAGAGUUUGGUGAGCAUAAAAAUUAGGUUAAUCCUACAAAAAAAAAAAAGGGUUCAGAGGAAAGAAUUCAACAUCAAAGUGGAGCACAUCAUUCAAUUUACAAGACCUAUAGUGGGCAGACAUUGGAACUGGAAAAAGGGAUGAAAGUCAGGAAUACUUUGCGGGAGUAAGGAGGAUCAUAGCUAGUAUCUAGUUAUGAAACUAUUAACACACUGGAAAUUAUUUCUUUAUAAUUUUUACUUCUUUCCUAGUGAGAAAAAUAAGAUGUUCAUUCAUAUGAAUAAAUAUGUAACUAUAUCAAUAAAGUCAUAAGCAUUUUGG
Long non-coding RNA from Mus musculus (house mouse), 1793 nucleotides. RefSeq annotates it as predicted gene 5524. The record is from RefSeq and is marked validated. NCBI's taxonomy places the organism in Eukaryota, Metazoa, Chordata, Mammalia, Rodentia, Muridae. The transcript has 2 exons.